This 467-nucleotide ribosomal RNA is filed under the name uncultured bacterium. Its description in RNAcentral is "partial 16S ribosomal RNA". It matches the Rfam family "Bacterial small subunit ribosomal RNA", at positions 28 to 506 of the family's 1533-position model. The record is from RNAcentral.
GACGAACGCUGGCGGCGUGCUUAACACAUGCAAGUCGAACGGAAAGGCCCUGCUUUUGUGGGGUGCUCGAGUGGCGAACGGGUGAGUAACACGUGAGUAACCUGCCCUUGACUUUGGGAUAACUUCAGGAAACUGGGGCUAAUACCGGAUAGGAGCUCCUGCUGCAUGGUGGGGGUUGGAAAGUUUCGGCGGUUGGGGAUGGACGCGCGGCUUAUCAGCUUGUUGGUGGGGUAGUGGCUUACCAAGGCUUUGACGGGUAGCCGGCCUGGGAGGGUGACCGGCCACAUUGGGACUGAGGUACGGCCCAGACUCCUACGGGAGGCAGCAGUGGGGAAUAUUGCACAAUGGGCGGAAGCCUGAUGCAGCAACGCCGCGUGCGGGAUGACGGCCUUCGGGUAGUAAACCGCUUUCGCCUGUGACGAAGCGUGAGUGACGGUAAUGAGUAAAGAAGCACCGGCUAACUACGU